Molecule: ribosomal RNA, 246 nt
Filed under: uncultured Lactobacillus sp.
Lineage: Bacteria; Bacillati; Bacillota; Bacilli; Lactobacillales; Lactobacillaceae
Description: partial 16S ribosomal RNA
Rfam family: Bacterial small subunit ribosomal RNA
Source: RNAcentral
CGUGGGUAACCUGCCCAAGAGAUCGGGAUAACACCUGGAAACAGAUGCUAAUACCGGAUAACAACAGAUGAUGCCUAUCAACUGUUUAAAAGAUGGUUCUGCUAUCACUCUUGGAUGGACCUGCGGUGCAUUAGCUAGUUGGUAGGGUAACGGCCUACCAAGGCGAUGAUGCAUAGCCGAGUUGAGAGACUGAUCGGCCACAUUGGGACCGAGACACGGCCCAAACUCCUACGGGAGGCAGCAGGA